CAAAGUUGGCUGUACGAAACAACAUGGAUGACAUGGUGAAUAUAUAGUAUAUAUCACCAAAGCAAUUCAAACUAUACGACUAAGGAGAGUAUAGGAAAAUUUUUCAAGAUACCCUGUCGUGUUUCUUUGCAUAAAUUGACCAUAAUACUCUUGUCAGAUGGUAGUGGUUACUGUCAGACCUGCCUUAACGUUGAGGAAAUUUCCAAGCCAUGUA
Molecule: long non-coding RNA, 214 nt
Filed under: Elaeis guineensis (African oil palm)
Lineage: Eukaryota; Viridiplantae; Streptophyta; Magnoliopsida; Arecales; Arecaceae
Description: long non-coding RNA (EGUI_LNC074990)
Source: RNAcentral